Molecule: ribosomal RNA, 378 nt
Filed under: Alphomelon sp. 'Mardulyn & Whitfield'
Lineage: Eukaryota; Metazoa; Arthropoda; Insecta; Hymenoptera; Braconidae
Description: partial 16S large subunit ribosomal RNA
Source: RNAcentral
UAAUUUUAAGUCAAAUCUGCUCAAUGAAUUAUUAUUUAAAUAGCUGCAGUAUCAAUAACUGUACAAAGGUAGCAUAAUAAUUUGUUUUUUAAUUUAAAACUAGAAUGAAUGAUUUAAUGAAAUAUAAACUGUCUCAAAUUAAAUAAAUAAAUUUAUUCUUUAAGUUAAAAAACUUAAAUUUUUUUUAAAGACGAAAAGACCCUAAGAAUUUUAAUAUUUAAUUUUUAUAUUAUUAUUUAUUUAAUAAAAAUUAAAUAAUUUAAUUGGGGAAAUUUUAAAAUUUAAUUAAUUUUUAAUUAAUAAAAACAACUAUUUUUGUAUAAUUAUAAAUUUUUAAAAAAUAAAAUAAAAUUACCUUAGGGAUAACAGCAUAAUUUU